This 216-nucleotide ribosomal RNA is filed under the name Glomeromycotina sp. Its description in RNAcentral is "partial small subunit ribosomal RNA". The stretch from base 40 to 216 matches the Rfam family "Eukaryotic small subunit ribosomal RNA", at positions 686 to 864 of the family's 1831-position model. Lineage: Eukaryota; Fungi; Glomeromycota. The record is from RNAcentral.
GGGUGCGUAGGUUGGUCGUGCCACCGGUACGUACUGCUCUCACUGAUUCCUCCUUCCUGAAGAACCGUAAUGCCAUUAAUUUGGUGUUGCGGGGAAACAGGACUGUUACUUUGAAAAAAUUAGAGUGUUUAAAGCAAGCUAACGCUUGAAUACAUUAGCAUGGAAUAAUGAAAUAGGACGAUCGAUCCUAUUUUGUUGGGUUCUAGGAUUGACGUA